AUGGCUGUGUUGAGCAGAGAAGCUAGCGGUUCAAACCGACGGUUGUCGCUGAUGUUCACUGAUGGUCAGCGCACAAAUGUGCCGGAUUUAGAUCUCGCGGAGGUUGACGGUAAGGCGGGUCCGGCGCGGGUCAAUGAUUUCGAUGCAUUGUCAUCUUUGUAUUUGAAAGUUGAAGAAGCUGCCAUGGAAUUGAAUCGUACCAGAUCGCAAUCAAGUGGUAUGUAUUUUGAUGAGUUAGAAGUAAUGAGGGCUUGA
This is a non-coding RNA of Vicia faba (fava bean), 255 nucleotides long. The record is from the annotation of a GenBank genome assembly. NCBI's taxonomy places the organism in Eukaryota, Viridiplantae, Streptophyta, Magnoliopsida, Fabales, Fabaceae.